This 207-nucleotide ribosomal RNA is filed under the name uncultured bacterium. RNAcentral's name for it is "partial 16S ribosomal RNA". It matches the Rfam family "Bacterial small subunit ribosomal RNA", at positions 568 to 774 of the family's 1533-position model. The record is from RNAcentral.
CACGUAGGCGGAUUGGCAAGUUGGGGGUGAAAUCCCAGGGCUCAACCCUGGAACUGCCUCCAAAACUUCCAGUCUUGAGGUCGAGAGAGGUGAGUGGAAUUCCGAGUGUAGAGGUGAAAUUCGUAGAUAUUCGGAGGAACACCAGUGGCGAAGGCGGCUCACUGGCUCGAUACUGACGCUGAGGUGCGAAAGCGUGGGGAGCAAACA